RNAcentral lists this ribosomal RNA (433 nucleotides) under uncultured bacterium. Its description in RNAcentral is "partial 16S ribosomal RNA". It matches the Rfam family "Bacterial small subunit ribosomal RNA", at positions 29 to 507 of the family's 1533-position model. The record is from RNAcentral.
AGCGAACGCUGGCGGCAGGCUUAACACAUGCAAGUCGAGCGGGCCCUUCGGGGUCAGCGGCAGACGGGUGAGUAACACGUGGGAACGUACCCUUUGGUUCGGAAUAACGCUGGGAAACUAGCGCUAAUACCGGAUACGCCCUUUUGGGGAAAGGCUUGCUGCCGAAGGAUCGGCCCGCGUCUGAUUAGCUAGUUGGUGGGGUAAUGGCCUACCAAGGCGACGAUCAGUAGCUGGUCUGAGAGGAUGAUCAGCCACACUGGGACUGAGACACGGCCCAGACUCCUACGGAAGGCAGCAGUGGGGAAUAUUGGACAAUGGGCGCAAGCCUGAUCCAGCCAUGCCGCGUGAGUGAUGAAGGCCUUAGGGUUGUAAAGCUCUUUUGUCCGGGACGAUAAUGACGGUACCGGAAGAAUAAGCCCCGGCUAACUUCGUG